This 624-nucleotide ribosomal RNA is filed under the name Euwallacea fornicatus. Its description in RNAcentral is "eukaryotic LSU rRNA". It matches the Rfam family "Eukaryotic large subunit ribosomal RNA", at positions 314 to 628 of the family's 3401-position model. Lineage: Eukaryota; Metazoa; Arthropoda; Insecta; Coleoptera; Curculionidae. The record is from RNAcentral.
GGCUAAAUACGACCACGAGACCGAUAGCGAACAAGUACCGUGAGGGAAAGUUGAAAAGCACUUUGAAGAGAGAGUUCAAGAGUACGUGAAACCGUUUAGGGGUAAACCUGAGAAACCCGAAAGGUCGAAGGGAGAAAUUCAUUCGCGUCUCGAGGCAGGCGUCGGACGGGGUCGAGCGACGGAACGGGCGCGCGUUUUUCUUCGGAAUCGCGCGUUCGACUUCGCGCCCUCCGUCCGUUCGAACCGGCAGCGAACGCGUGCACUUUUCUCCUGGUAGGACGUCGCGAUCCGUCGGGCGUCGGUCUACGACUUGCGGCGGAGACCGUCCGUCGUUCUUCGGAACGUACGGCGCGGACCCGCUCGUUCCGGCCGACUCGCUCGACGGUACAAAUCGAGGUCUGGGGUCGCUGCUACUUUUAGUCUCGCGUUCGCGCGAGACGAAAAAGAGAGCGUUCGACUCGUCGCAAGCGCGUCACGUGCGUCGGCACGCGGACCCGGUGCCGCGUCCGAUCUCUGGCGACUGUUGGCGACGAUUAGUUCUCGAACAGACUUCCCUCUCGGGGGUGGGGGGAGAGAGGGGUCAAACUCUUUCUCUCUCUCUCUCUCGAAGACCGAUCGGCGACG